AUAUAUAUAUAUAUAUAUAUUAUUAUAUAUUAUUAUAUAUAAUAUAAUUUAUAUAUGUAUUUACAUUAUAGAUCACAUAUGUCCUAAUAAACCCAUCACAAAUUGAAAAUAUCGUUAAGUCUAAAAAGCACGUAACACCCCAACCUACCGAACACCACAGCUUAGCCUAGCCUACCUUAAACGUGUUCAGAACACGUACCUUUGCCUACAGUUGGGCAAAACCGCGUAACACAAAGCCCGUUUUAGAAUACAGUGUUGACUGUCAUAUGUAAUUUAUAAAUACUCUGCUGAAAGUGAGAAGCGGAAUGGCCGUUGUAAUUUUAUCACUGUCAUUUUAUUAUGCAAACUAUAAUUUCAUCGCUGCAAUCGUAUCAUCGCUGACCCUGGUGAUCGCGUGGCUGACCGGGCGCUGGGGCUCGCUGCCCUGCCCAGCGUCACCGGAGAGGAUCACACUGUGUAUCACCAGCCCAGGCAAAGAUCAAAAUUCAGAAUUCCAAGUACGGUUUCUACUGAAAGUGUGUCAUUGUCACACCCUCGUGAGGUCAAAAAAUCAUGAAGUCAAGCCAUCCAUCGAGUCGGGUUGUCAGGGAGCUACAAAGGAACAUUCUGGUGAGAAAGAAGCUCUCCAGAGCGUGGGUGGCAGCAGACAGUCAGUCGUCGAGGACAACACCCUGAUCUGGGCCCGGCCGCCCCUCCCACACCCCCAAAGGAGCCACACAAGGAGCUGGCCUCCGAGGGGCUCCCUUGGGAAUCCCCACCAGUGCUUGCCCACACGGGCACUCCGGCCUCAGGAGCCCCCUGAGGAAGAGGUUCUUGCUGCUGGAUUUGUGGGCUUCUCAAAGCCUUGGGCGGCGGGUAUUUGUGUUAUAAGAAGACACCUGGUUUUCUUCAAGGGUCAGAAGAGAUUGGUGGCUGAGCGAUUCUGCUGUCCUGGGGGGGCAGGCUGCAGGAGGGCCUUGGUCACCCCGGGAGGUGGAAGGAGAGAGGCCCGGGCCAAGCCCUGGGGCCUGGGCUGCUGCUGUCGGUCGCCCUGCCUUCAGCACGACAAGGUGCAAACUCCAGGAAGGAACGCCACCCCGUCCAGGGGCCAGCCCCCAAUAACAGGGUUGGAUGGGACAAGGCUUGGGGUGCCCAGCUGGGCCGUAAGACUGCCGCCCGGCGCACCUCCGUCUUUGCAAAGCAUGCGUCCUUUCUCCUCAUCCUCUCCCCCCAUGGUAAGGCCUUUCUUUUCCCUACUUUACAGAUGAGAAGACGGACUGGAGCAAAGCAGGCGGCGGGACAGCCUUGCAAGCGUGAAGUGUGAUGGGACAAUGGAGCUCAGCUCACUGGUGGUCCAGCAGCCCAACUCCAGCCCCUAGUGACCCAGACCUCGCCUGACUUGCCCUUCCCCACCCCCAUUCCAUGACUGUGGCCUCUCUCACCCAGCUUUGGAAAGGAAGAGUUACAAAUAACAAGGCACAAGAUUGCCCUCAGAGAAAUAAUCUGCUCCAUAGACAAGAUUCUCUUUGACCCAUGUGUGGAUUUUCUAGGGCUGCCAUGGCAAGCGACCACAAACUGAGCACCAAAGCAACAGAAAUAUGUUGUCUCACAGUUCUAGAGGCCAGAAGUCUGAGAUCAAGGUGUUGGCAGGUGCCAUCUCUGAUCAAUUGGAGUGAUUACCCAGAGUGUUGCAAAGAAAAGGGUGGGGGAUUGACAUCCAAGAUUAAUGAGAAAGCCCUCAUCAUGAGAACAUGCCCAAGCUCAUCUGCUGGAAGUAAGUCAGAAACACAUGGAAGAGAGCCAAGUCAUCCCAUCAAGGCCAUCCUAGACCAGUUAUCCCCCAGUUACCUAACAAACUAACCAUAGGCACGUGAGUGAGCCUAGCCAACAUCAGCCAAGCCUAAUCCAGACCAGUAGAAGCAUCCAGCUGACCUGUAGACUUGUGAGAAGCAAGGAAUGGUUGUUAUUUUAAGCUACUAGAUCUGGGAGUGGUUUGUUAUGUAGCAGUAACUAACUGCCACGUCUGAUCUCUGGGCUAAAGAGGAAGAGGAAGAGAUUAGGUAUACACUGCGUCCACUGCUGGAAUUUAGUCAUGACUAGGAAACUCUGAGGAACUGAUAGGGCAGGUCUGUUAAAAGGUUAUUUGCAUGGGGUGCCUCCUAGGAGAGAAGUCAUCCCAAGGGAAGAACAAGUCAAGCAGAGAAGCUUGGCCUGGGAACAAAGAUUUAGUCAUCAGAAGCUGAGAAAAUCCACCCUGGUGUCUAUUAUUCUAAUGGGUCUUCUGGCUACAGCUCAAUGGACUCUUGUUUGACUUUUAUGGUAGAGGGUACAGGAAAGGUACAGGCAAAGGAUUAUUUCACUAACGGCUCUCUAGGACACUGAUGCACAAGCUCCUCAGCUUUGGGCUCCUUGAGGAAAAUUGUAGAGCUCAAGUAGCAAGAGAGGAUCUAUGUGAACAAGGCACAAGUUUGGUAUCCAGAAGACCUCCGUCAAAGAUCGAGUACCCAGAAGAAGACUAAGUCGCAUCUGUCUAAAAACUACCUUAAUUCACGAUUUCAUUCUUUUAUGCAUUCUACAAGCACUGAGGGCUACUCAGACUUUACCAAUCUGAACUGGGUUACACUGAAGGGAGAUGAAAACAUCCAUAAGGUAGGAUCUCUCCCUGUAAGGAGCACACAGGCUGGUUUAUGUUUAAAACUAGGCCUUAUCUCGUGCACUCUGGUUGAUUUGUAAUGGCUGCUGAGAGCAUCUCUUGAGCAUUUGAGAGGUCACCUCCUGAUUCCGAGGAGUGCUGUGAUUGACUAGCAAUGUCAGCUCUGGCCACGUAUUCGUUAUCCUGAUGGUUGAGUUUUCUGUCCUGGCUCCAUAGCAGCAUUUAAUUGUAGACCCAAGACCCAUGUAGGCCUCCUGCAUGUAGUAUAUGUAAAAUCCAUCUGCCACAACCUGUUCCUACCUUAGCAGGGAGACAGGGGCUGAACGGACACUGAGGAAGGUGGGUCUGAGUUAGCAUUCUUCUUAUAUGACAAAGGGGCAUGAUAUUUUCUCUCUUACCUAUUUCUGCUCCUCCUCUGCAAGUCAGAGAUGUAAUCCCCAAAAUAGGGGUGAGGUGGAGUGGAGUAUGGAGUAGAAACCUAUGCACAGGGACAAAAAUCACUCCAUCUCCCUCUGGCAGAGGGAUAAAGGGCUUGAGGAUGUCUGAGACCAUAACCCAGCCUUGAAAAUAAGCACUGAAAUGUUACCAGCCCAUACUCAGCAUCAUAUGGGCUAUAAAAUAAAGAAAAUCCCACCAGUCCAGUUUCUUGUAUCUACUCAGUAUGAACAUGGUUAAUCUCUUGACAGCCUUAGCAGGCUGUGGGAACAGGAGAGUGCCAGGUGGAGUUCCCGGUGGGCAUCUAAGGAACACCAUGGAUGAGUCCUCAGGAGCUCAACUGAGGAGCUCAGCCUGGAUUUGGACGCACAAUCCUUAAACAACUGUAGGGGAGACAAAAAUUUUAGAGUCACUACUAAAUUCACUGUUCCUAAAGAUCUGUUUGUUUUGUGAGCCACCUAGAACUCAAAAGGCUGAGUACUUAUUAAGUACGUAUGGCUCUCAUAGUCUGUAAGACCUGCCUCAAAUCUCUGGUAUGCCAUUCUCUAAUGGUGGGACUUCGGGUAAAUGCCUUAACCCAUUUUUUGUCUGAAAAACAGGGAUUACAACAGUACUUAUUCUCAGGGUUUUUGUUUAGAUAGAAUGAGUAUGGGAAGUACUCAACAGAAUGGCUGUGCUAAGUACUCAACAAAUGAUAGCCAUAAUUAUUAGCAAUUAAGUUCUGGACUCUUUUGGGGUAUCUCCUGCAGCCCCACUCACAAGUGGUAUUGGGCUCCAGCCCCAUGCGGCCAGAAGCUGUGGGCACAGGCACUCAGUGGGCUCGGGUCUCCCCUCUUCUCAGCCUCGCCUCAAGCCGUCCUGCCAACACAGGCCACGGAGCAGUGCACAGGUUUCCAAAAGGAGAUGCUGUCUCUCAGCAGCUCAGUUCCCAUUUUCAGGGCUCUUCGGGCAUGUGUUGUGCCAGACAAAGCCAUGUGUGUGUGUGAGGCCCAGGCCCUGUGACACUGCCUAGAGAGAGGGACAGCAGGGGAAGAAGACACAGAGCUCCUGUUCCAGCCAAAGGCAACAGCACCCUGGAAGCCACAGGGCCUCUGGCCAGGGACUGUUUACACUCUCCGAGGACAGUGCCUGCUGCCCAGAGCGGGAUUCCAACACUGAAGCCACAGCGCCUGAGCAGAGCCACGCCUGCCAGACUGCCUCCCUGGGCCGCAAUGACCUGGUCACCUGGCGUGGAGAGGGUGUUGGGGGACAAGCUUUAGAGAGAAAGACCCUGGGAGAGGGAGGUAGGAAGGAGGCCUUCUGGUUCUUACUCUCUGGGCUGCUGUUUCUUCUACUGUUGGGGAAAACAAGAUAAGGAAACAGAGCACCUGACCCAACGUGUGGUAGAGCGGGACUUGACGGGCAAGUCUCUGCUUCAACACUGCCAUCCACCUGCAUAUGCUUGGGCAGGUCCCAUAGCCUCCCUGCGUAGCCUCCACUUCCAUAUCUGCAGGAUGGGGACUGCCACAAGGUUGACGGGAGGAACACACGAGAUAAUUAUGUCUCCACCUUUUUAAGGCGGGCAAGUAUGUACACAAAUAUUUCUUCCACUUAUUUGUCUUCCUGUGCCUCCUUUUCCCUCUAUGUUGCCUCUUUCCCACCUCUCAUUUAUUUCCUUUUUUCUCCCUCCAUCCCCAUACUUUACCUUAGGCUAGGGAUAUUCAAGACAUUUCCACCAAAAUGUCCCUACCAGCCAAGAAGAAUAAAAAGGACUUAGCUUAAAGUGCUCAAUACAAGUUGAAAUUUCAUUGGCAUUUGGAUGGUGGACAUGGCACUUGGCUCCAUGAUCCAUCCACGUGUGGCUGUUCCCAUUCUUGGUUGAAAACAGCAGAGCCCGUUUCUGCUAAUUCAGACACAAUGAGACAUCAGGGCAACUGUGGAUUUUGAAGGCGAAUCAGAAAGUCAUGGCCUCCACGCACAGGAAACCUGUCCAAACCACCUGGCAGGGGCUGCCCCAGUGAAUCCCCAUUGGCAUCAGCCUUGAACGCAAACACCGUAGCUCAUUCCAGAUGGGGCUUCUCUCUCUGAUCCCACUGGGGAUGACACCAAAGAUCCAGAACUACCGCACGUGGAAAAGGAUGCCUCUGCCCCCCUUGCUGCCCAAACGUGGAUUCCUCAAGGCCCCCUUCCCUGGAUGGCUUUCUGCGGAGUCUUGUGUGAGUGCACGGCCUAUGACGUGACCAGCAGCCUCACUACAAGGGAAGACGGAAGAGUGAAUUCCAGCAGGACUCGCAGUACAGGACAUUUUCCCAAUAGAGAAACACUGGAAAUGGGCAUCAAUGGGCCUCACUGAUACAUUAUAUACCGUAACGUUAUUUUUUAGCUACCGGUCUGCAAGUGAAAAGAAUGUUCCAGAAACAUAUGGUCUGUUUUCCUAAACUUCGUGUCCCUGUCAUUGUCCACAUAGUCCCAGGGAACAGGUUCUCCAGUUUGAGAAGCCAGGCCCUGGGCCCUUCCAGAGGCAUUGCCCAGCCUCAUUAAGUAAGUAUACCUUCGGUUAAAGAUGAGUCAUCAGCCCCUGAAGGAGGGCCCAGAUUCCAUCUCCUAAAAAUGGAAGCACAUUUGAAAUGUUUUGAGUAACGCCAGCUAUGUAACUGUCCUAUUGGGCCCACAGAGCUGACUUCCCUUGCCCGCCCCGGUCCCGCUGUGAAGAUCAUCUGACGUUCCAGUCGAUGUUGGCUUCUGUGGCUCCCUCCCAUCCACCCCUUCCCAGGCACCCUCUCGAGUAGAGGCAAUUGGGGCCCAUGCAGCACAUCUUCUGUUCAGUGUUGUUUUCAGGAAAGCAUCAAGGGCCUCCUCUGUCAUGGUCCGUGAUUCCUCCUGGACAUGGAACCUACUGGAAGAAAGUCACAACAGGCCUGGCAUUCUUCUCGGAGCUCUGACUUUUCCUACGUAUGCAUUCUACAGUUGCGUCAGCUUCAUUAGCAGAAAGCCCCAAGGCCGUAGCUGGAUCUCCCCGAGAAGCAAAACACAGAUUCCAAUUUCCCUGUGGCUGAAGGUAGUAACGUUGGCGCCAUGAAGGUUAGCGUCCUCUGUGCAAAACUACGGGCUGACAUUCUCCUGGAAGCAGGGGCCUGUUGUUGUUUGGAACUGAUUCUCUCUUGCAAACUCUCUCCAGGGAGUGGACUCUGAAACCACUGGCCAGUUUUCAAAUAUGUACAUGCAGAAUGAGAGGUAUUUUUUCAGUUGGUCACUAGGAAUAGAGCCCGGGCAGGAGCCCUAAAAUUGGAAAGUACAUUUCACUGCAGUUUUCCCCCCUAAAAAUAGCAAGUUAGCUUUGCCAUGCAAGGGGCGGAACUCGGGGCCCUCGUCUGGGGAUAAUAGGAAAGCUACCCUGGCUGGCAGGCCGGCGGGUCUUACCCCGGUGGGACCUUGCGGCCCUGUUUGUAGGGGAGCCCCAUCUCCUGAGGACUGACUUCAAGACCCCGGGCAUGGCCCUCCUGCUGCCCAGCCCUGCCCUAUUCCUCACGAAACAUAGGACCCUUCUGUCUGUCAUAGUCCUGUCCCGCCCAACGGGGUUGCGAGGUUGCCAAAGCUUGCUUCUAGCACAGGUCUGGGGGCUCUAGCACCAUGUGUACUAGCUCCCAGAGAAACCAGGGUUUGGGAAGAGGCAAUAGAUAGAUACUUGAGGUGAUUCCAGUAUAUUUGCUGAAUGCACAAGGAUACGGGUGCAAAUAUUCUCAGCUGAAUUUGCAACGUGACGCAUGCUUCCUGAGAGCGCACCGGACAGGGUGGCAACAAUGGGAUGCACUUGACAGCAAUAGAUCACGUCCCACUGGUCUCACCUGCUACCACACACGUCAGCCCUUCUCGGAGUGUCACUAAAGUAUUUCUGAGCUCUCUCGGGGUUUUAUGAAAGGCUCUCAUAAACAAGCCCUUGUCACUCCCAGUUGGUGCCUGUUACUGUCCCCUUGUCCACUUCUGGCCUCUUCCACUGGAGUCCCACAUCCGUGAUUCUUCAGCCCACGGGGGCCAGAAGAACGAGCAUGCCCAAGGCCACGUCCGUGCGCUCGAGACCACCACGCGACUCCAUGACACCUGGCAACCCUUGCUGCUCGGGUUUUUCUCAUAGCUUAUCUCUCCCCAGAGAUCUUCCAUUAGGCCCGUAUGGGGUUGGGCUCACUAAUAUAGCCAAGUGACAUCACCAUACUGGAUCCAGAAUCAUCCUGCCCUUCCCACAAUGAAUGCUUUGUUAUCGGGCCAAGCUUCUCUGCCGACAUUCUCUCUCUUUAGGGUUCCUGGCCUGCUCUGCUGCUGACUUACUGGGUGAUCUUGGGCAAAGCACUUAACCUCUCUGGGUUUCAGUUCACUGGUCUCUAAAAU
Canis lupus familiaris (dog) is the source of this 7429-nucleotide RNA transcript. RefSeq lists it as uncharacterized. The record is from RefSeq and is a predicted model, not a curated record. The transcript is spliced from 7 exons. NCBI's taxonomy places the organism in Eukaryota, Metazoa, Chordata, Mammalia, Carnivora, Canidae.